CCUACGGGUGGCAGCAGUGGGGAAUAUUGGACAAUGGGGGCAACCCUGAUCCAGCCAUGCCGCGUGUGUGAAGAAGGCCCUCGGGUUGUAAAGCACUUUCAGUGAGGAAGAACGCCUGGUGGUUAAUACCCAUCAGGAAAGACAUCACUCACAGAAGAAGCACCAGCUAACUCCGUGCCAGCAGCCGCGGUAAUACGGAGGGUGCGAGCGUUAAUCGGAAUUACUGGGCGUAAAGCGCGCGUAGGUGGCUUGAUAAGCCGGUUGUGAAAGCCCCGGGCUCAACCUGGGAACGGCAUCCGGAACUGUCAAGCUAGAGUGCAGGAGAGGAAGGUAGAAUUCCCGGUGUAGCGGUGAAAUGCGUAGAGAUCGGGAGGAAUACCAGUGGCGAAGGCGGCCUUCUGGACUGACACUGACACUGAGGUGCGAAAGCGUGGGUAGCAAACAGGAUUAGAUACCCGGGUAGUC
This 465-nucleotide ribosomal RNA is filed under the name Vreelandella stevensii. RNAcentral's name for it is "partial 16S ribosomal RNA". It matches the Rfam family "Bacterial small subunit ribosomal RNA", at positions 338 to 795 of the family's 1533-position model. The record is from RNAcentral. Lineage: Bacteria; Pseudomonadati; Pseudomonadota; Gammaproteobacteria; Oceanospirillales; Halomonadaceae.